GACGAACGCUGGCGGCGUGCCUAAUACAUGCAAGUAGAACGCUGAAGGAGGAGCUUGCUCUUCUGGAUGAGUUGCGAACGGGUGAGUAACGCGUAGGUAACCUGCCUGGUAGCGGGGGAUAACUAUUGGAAACGAUAGCUAAUACCGCAUAAUAGUAGAUGUUGCAUGACAUUUGCUUAAAAGGUGCAAUUGCAUCACUACCAGAUGGACCUGCGUUGUAUUAGCUAGUUGGUGAGGUAACGGCUCACCAAGGCAACGAUACAUAGCCGACCUGAGAGGGUGAUCGGCCACACUGGGACUGAGACACGGCCCAGACUCCUACGGGAGGCAGCAGUAGGGAAUCUUCGGCAAUGGACGGAAGUCUGACCGAGCAACGCCGCGUGAGUGAAGAAGGUUUUCGGAUCGUAAAGCUCUGUUGUAAGAGAAGAACGAGUGUGAGAGUGGAAAGUUCACACUG
Molecule: ribosomal RNA, 457 nt
Filed under: Streptococcus sp. oral taxon 064
Lineage: Bacteria; Bacillati; Bacillota; Bacilli; Lactobacillales; Streptococcaceae
Description: bacterial SSU rRNA
Rfam family: Bacterial small subunit ribosomal RNA
Source: RNAcentral